RNAcentral lists this non-coding RNA (133 nucleotides) under Canis lupus familiaris (dog). RNAcentral's name for it is "Voltage-gated potassium-channel Kv1.4 IRES". It matches the Rfam family "Voltage-gated potassium-channel Kv1.4 IRES", at positions 75 to 207 of the family's 259-position model. Rfam says of the family: This family represents the Kv1.4 voltage-gated potassium-channel internal ribosome entry site (IRES). This region has been shown to mediate internal ribosome entry in cells derived from brain, heart, and skeletal muscle, tissues known to express Kv1.4 mRNA species. RNAcentral also lists the same sequence under 1 other name. The record is from Rfam by way of RNAcentral. Lineage: Eukaryota; Metazoa; Chordata; Mammalia; Carnivora; Canidae.
GAGCAUGGGGCGUGCUGGUUUAAAAACGGAAAAUGCAAAGUUGGACUGAAAAUAUCCUCAGUCUUCCGAGCAAUCUGCUGAACGGUUCCAAACUUACCUUAGUGUGGUGAGGCGGGGAGCUGCCCCACUUUCC